ACCGAGAUUCCCCCAGUAGCGGCGAGCGAACGGGGAGCAGCCCAGAGCCUGAAUCAGUAUGUGUGUUAGUGGAAGCGUCUGGAAAGGCGCGCGAUACAGGGUGACAGCCCCGUACACAAAAAUGCACAUGCUGUGAGCUCGAUGAGUAGGGCGGGACACGUGGUAUCCUGUCUGAAUAUGGGGGGACCAUCCUCCAAGGCUAAAUACUCCUGACUGACCGAUAGUGAACCAGUACCGUGAGGGAAAGGCGAAAAGAACCCCGGCGAGGGGAGUGAAAAAGAACCUGAAACCGUGUACGUACAAGCAGUGGGAGCACAGAGCAAUCUGUGUGACUGCGUACCUUUUGUAUAAUGGGUCAGCGACUUAUAUUCUGUAGCAAGGUUAACCGAAUAGGGGAGCCGAAGGGAAACCGAGUCUUAACUGGGCGUUAAGUUGCAGGGUAUAGACCCGAAACCCGGUGAUCUAGCCAUGGGCAGGUUGAAGGUUGGGUAACACUAACUGGAGGACCGAACCGACUAAUGUUGAAAAAUUAGCGGAUGACUUGUGGCUGGGGGUGAAAGGCCAAUCAAACCGGGAGAUAGCUGGUUCUCCCCGAAAGCUAUUUAGGUAGCGCCUCGUGAAUUCAUCUCCGGGGGUAGAGCACUGUUUCGGCAAGGGGGUCAUCCCGACUUACCAACCCGAUGCAAACUGCGAAUACCGGAGAAUGUUAUCACGGGAGACACACGGCGGGUGCUAACGUCCGUCGUGAAGAGGGAAACAACCCAGACCGCCAGCUAAGGUCCCAAAGUCAUGGUUAAGUGGGAAACGAUGUGGGAAGGCCCAGACAGCCAGGAUGUUGGCUUAGAAGCAGCCAUCAUUUAAAGAAAGCGUAAUAGCUCACUGGUCGAGUCGGCCUGCGCGGAAGAUGUAACGGGGCUAAACCAUGCACCGAAGCUGCGGCAGCGACGCUGAUGCGUUGUUGGGUAGGGGAGCGUUCUGUAAGCCUGUGAAGGUGUGCUGUGAGGCAUGCUGGAGGUAUCAGAAGUGCGAAUGCUGACAUAAGUAACGAUAAAGCGGGUGAAAAGCCCGCUCGCCGGAAGACCAAGGGUUCCUGUCCAACGUUAAUCGGGGCAGGGUGAGUCGACCCCUAAGGCGAGGCCGAAAGGCGUAGUCGAUGGGAAACAGGUUAAUAUUCCUGUACUUGGUGUUACUGCGAAGGGGGGACGGAGAAGGCUAUGUUGGCCGGGCGACGGUUGUCCCGGUUUAAGCGUGUAGGCUGGUUUUCCAGGCAAAUCCGGAAAACUAAGGCUGAGGCGUGAUGACGAGGCACUACGGUGCUGAAGCAACAAAUGCCCUGCUUCCAGGAAAAGCCUCUAAGCAUCAGGUAACAUCAAAUCGUACCCCAAACCGACACAGGUGGUCAGGUAGAGAAUACCAAGGCGCUUGAGAGAACUCGGGUGAAGGAACUAGGCAAAAUGGUGCCGUAACUUCGGGAGAAGGCACGCUGAUAUGUAGGUGAAGUCCCUCGCGGAUGGAGCUGAAAUCAGUCGAAGAUACCAGCUGGCUGCAACUGUUUAUUAAAAACACAGCACUGUGCAAACACGAAAGUGGACGUAUACGGUGUGACGCCUGCCCGGUGCCGGAAGGUUAAUUGAUGGGGUCAGCGCAAGCGAAGCUCUUGAUCGAAGCCCCGGUAAACGGCGGCCGUAACUAUAACGGUCCUAAGGUAGCGAAAUUCCUUGUCGGGUAAGUUCCGACCUGCACGAAUGGCGUAAUGAUGGCCAGGCUGUCUCCACCCGAGACUCAGUGAAAUUGAACUCGCUGUGAAGAUGCAGUGUACCCGCGGCAAGACGGAAAGACCCCGUGAACCUUUACUAUAGCUUGACACUGAACAUUGAGCCUUGAUGUGUAGGAUAGGUGGGAGGCUUUGAAGUGUGGACGCCAGUCUGCAUGGAGCCGACCUUGAAAUACCACCCUUUAAUGUUUGAUGUUCUAACGUUGACCCGUAAUCCGGGUUGCGGACAGUGUCUGGUGGGUAGUUUGACUGGGGCGGUCUCCUCCUAAAGAGUAACGGAGGAGCACGAAGGUUGGCUAAUCCUGGUCGGACAUCAGGAGGUUAGUGCAAUGGCAUAAGCCAGCUUGACUGCGAGCGUGACGGCGCGAGCAGGUGCGAAAGCAGGUCAUAGUGAUCCGGUGGUUCUGAAUGGAAGGGCCAUCGCUCAACGGAUAAAAGGUACUCCGGGGAUAACAGGCUGAUACCGCCCAAGAGUUCAUAUCGACGGCGGUGUUUGGCACCUCGAUGUCGGCUCAUCACAUCCUGGGGCUGAAGUAGGUCCCAAGGGUAUGGCUGUUCGCCAUUUAAAGUGGUACGCGAGCUGGGUUUAGAACGUCGUGAGACAGUUCGGUCCCUAUCUGCCGUGGGCGCUGGAGAACUGAGGGGGGCUGCUCCUAGUACGAGAGGACCGGAGUGGACGCAUCACUGGUGUUCGGGUUGUCAUGCCAAUGGCACUGCCCGGUAGCUAAAUGCGGAAGAGAUAAGUGCUGAAAGCAUCUAAGCACGAAACUUGCCCCGAGAUGAGUUCUCCCUGACUCCUUGAGAGUCCUGAAGGAACGUUGAAG
This 2598-nucleotide ribosomal RNA is filed under the name Escherichia coli. RNAcentral's name for it is "partial 23S ribosomal RNA". It matches the Rfam family "Bacterial large subunit ribosomal RNA", at positions 228 to 2843 of the family's 2925-position model. The record is from RNAcentral. Lineage: Bacteria; Pseudomonadati; Pseudomonadota; Gammaproteobacteria; Enterobacterales; Enterobacteriaceae.